GCCGUGCAAGCCUGAACCAACUGCGGUCGCCUGUCUGUCUCUGUCUUUGUCGUCCGUCUUUCGGUGUGCAUCGCCAGGUGGCCUUUGCCGGAGCCUAGGACCCACUAGGAAUAGGAGGAACAUUCUA
Myotis davidii is the source of this 127-nucleotide long non-coding RNA. RefSeq lists it as uncharacterized. NCBI's taxonomy places the organism in Eukaryota, Metazoa, Chordata, Mammalia, Chiroptera, Vespertilionidae. The record is from RefSeq and is a predicted model, not a curated record. The transcript has 3 exons.